UCUCAUGCUCAUUAUAAGGAAUUUGGAGUCCUGAUCCCGCCUGAUCUCGGAAGCUAAGCAGGAUCGGGCCUGGUUAGUACUUGGCUGGAAGACCACCUAGGAAGACCAGCUGGUGUAGGCG
Molecule: ribosomal RNA, 121 nt
Filed under: Pteropus alecto (black flying fox)
Lineage: Eukaryota; Metazoa; Chordata; Mammalia; Chiroptera; Pteropodidae
Source: RNAcentral